This is a long non-coding RNA of Gorilla gorilla gorilla (western lowland gorilla), 236 nucleotides long. RefSeq lists it as uncharacterized. The record is from RefSeq and is a predicted model, not a curated record. Lineage: Eukaryota; Metazoa; Chordata; Mammalia; Primates; Hominidae. The transcript has 3 exons.
GAUGGAUGCAUGCAGUUCGUCAGAACUUAAAUACUGAGGAAGAAGUGGAAAAUGUAGCAGACAUUGGUUUUGAUUGUAACAUGUGCAGACCCUAUAUGCCUGCGUCUAAUGUGCCUUCCUCAGACUGCUGUGGAUCUUCACUUGUAGCACAAAUUGUCACAAAAGUAAAAGAGCUAGACCCACCCAAGACUUAUACCCAGGAUGGUGUAUGUUUGACUGAAUCAGGGAUGACUCAG